UACGGGGGGGGAAAGCGUUGUUCGGAAUUACUGGGCGUAAAGGGCUUGUAGGUGGCCAACUAAGUCAGACGUGAAAUCCCUCGGCUUAACCGGGGAACUGCGUCUGAUACUGGAUGGCUCGAGUGUGGGAGAGGGAUGCGGAAUUCCAGGUGUAGCGGUGAAAUGCGUAGAUAUCUGGAGGAACACCGGUGGCGAAGGCGGCAUCCUGGACCAUAACUGACACUGAUAAGCGAAAGCCAGGGGAGCAAACGGG
Molecule: ribosomal RNA, 253 nt
Filed under: uncultured bacterium
Lineage: Bacteria
Description: partial 16S ribosomal RNA
Rfam family: Bacterial small subunit ribosomal RNA
Source: RNAcentral